GUAAGAAGUAUAAAACGUUUCUCUGAAAGACAGAAGUGAAACGUACUAGUCAGUGUGUACUGGAAUAUUUUUAUGCUGUUAAGAACAAUUUCCUUUAGUAGGAGCAGCUUUUUCCUUUAUAUUUGACAUAAUGCAAAGAUCAAACAGCAUGAUUUUGUUUGCAGAUUUUCCUCACUUCUUGGUAUGCUUGCAGCACAUCUUCUAACACGAUCAGUCUGGAAGUUGCAUUCACAAGUUGGCCUGCCCUUCAGGGGAAACUUUCUUGCCUCUUUGGCAGUGUGGAUUUGACCUAGCCAUGUGGUGUGUACAAGUAGGAAGUUCUACAAUCAGUUAACUCUUUUAAGUUUUCCCUGCAAUUCAUGUCCAGUUCGAACACAAACACAUAUGCAGUUGCUGUGAUGACAUACAGAAAUGCAAAUCAUCAGUGAAAUGUAUGGGAGUGACUCUCUUUCUUAAGAUACCACACAAAUGUUUACUUUGCAUCAGCCCUUGUAUUGCUAAAACAAUUGGACUGAUUUCUUUAGAACCAUAUUCCUUUACAGGCUCUAUAAAGACACUCUGUUCACAGACUCUGGGUGGAGCAACUGUUAAAACCCUAGCAGGAGUAAUUAUAUAGACUUGAGUAUUAAAUAUACUGUUUUGUGAUGAUAAACUAUGAAACUAUCAUCCCCGAGCUUUUAACCUACUAACUUAUAUAAUAGGUUUGAGACAAAAUAUACACUGUCAUACAAAGGACAUAUAUAUGUACAGGGGCACAAGAUGUGAAAACUGUUACUAAGAUUAUUGUGAAUAAAGUUGAGUCUAAUCUUGAAAAUUAUUUUGAUAUAUACAAAAGGAUAAGGACUGAGAAACAUUUUUAUAUUGGUGAGUUAAAUUAUUGUGUAUUUUCAAAUUUAAGUUUAGAAAUCAAUUGCAAUAAAUUAUUACCAUGAAAUGUUUGCAUAUAUGAUUGAAAUGUAUGCCUGUAUGUCAAAUAUCUUAUAAAAAUAAAAUGUAUAAGCUUCCUAGGA
Odocoileus virginianus texanus is the source of this 1010-nucleotide non-coding RNA. The record is from RefSeq and is a predicted model, not a curated record. Lineage: Eukaryota; Metazoa; Chordata; Mammalia; Artiodactyla; Cervidae.